GACGAACGCUGGCGGCGUGCUUAAUACAUGCAAGUCGAGCGAGGUUACUGUUUGGAUCCCUUCGGGGUGAAGAAGCUUUAACCUAGCGGCGGACGGGUGAGUAACGCGUGGGUAACCUACCCCAAAGUCCGGGAUAACAGCGGGAAACCGCUGCUAAUACCGGAUGCCUUUACCUUGGGGCAUCUUGAGGUAAAGAAAGGUAACGCUUUGGGAUGGGCCCGCGUCCCAUUAGCUAGUUGGUGAGGUAACGGCUCACCAAGGCGACGAUGGGUAGCCGGCCUGAGAGGGUGGACGGCCACACUGGGACUGAGACACGGCCCAGACUCCUACGGGAGGCAGCAGUAGGGAAUAUUGCGCAAUGGACGGAAGUCUGACGCAGCGACGCCGCGUGAGCGAUGAAGGUCUUCGGAUCGUAAAGCUCUGUCCUUGGGGAAGAAGGCGAAAGCUUGACGGUACCCAAGAAGAAAGCCCCGGCUAACUACGUG
This 485-nucleotide ribosomal RNA is filed under the name uncultured bacterium. RNAcentral's name for it is "bacterial SSU rRNA". It matches the Rfam family "Bacterial small subunit ribosomal RNA", at positions 28 to 507 of the family's 1533-position model. The record is from RNAcentral.